ACAAGUACCGAAGACGCAAUACAGGAAUUAGUAAAUGGAUCUGGCGGGCGUUGGAGUUUUUAAGCUGCGUUGUGAAUAAAGAUGUCAUCCAAGUCAUUAGGGCUUAGGAGGCGUAUCUUAAUCCUGGACGAGAUACGUGGUCCUAAACUCGGGGUUGUUUUAAAAUCUUUUGUUGAGUCUUUUUGAACUCCUUAAAACAUGUUAUGGUUGUGUUGUUAUGA
Molecule: long non-coding RNA, 221 nt
Filed under: Helianthus annuus (common sunflower)
Lineage: Eukaryota; Viridiplantae; Streptophyta; Magnoliopsida; Asterales; Asteraceae
Description: sRNA HanXRQr2_Chr06g0270641
Source: RNAcentral